Molecule: ribosomal RNA, 464 nt
Filed under: uncultured bacterium
Lineage: Bacteria
Description: partial 16S ribosomal RNA
Rfam family: Bacterial small subunit ribosomal RNA
Source: RNAcentral
GACGAACGCUGGCGGCGUGCUUAACACAUGCAAGUCGAACGGAAAGGCCCCUUUGGGGGUACUCGAGUGGCGAACGGGUGAGUAACACGUGAGUAACCUGCCCUUGACUUCGGGAUAACUUCAGGAAACUGGGGCUAAUACCGGAUAGGAAUCCUUGCUGCAUGGUGGGGGUUGGAAAGCUUCGGCGGUUUUGGAUGGACUCGCGGCUUAUCAGCUUGUUGGUGGGGUAGUGGCUUACCAAGGCUUUGACGGGUAGCCGGCCUGAGAGGGCGACCGGCCACAUUGGGACUGGGAGAGGGCCCAGACCCCAACGGGGGGCAGCGGGGGGGAAUUUUACACAAUGGGCGGAAGCCUGAUGCAGAAACCCCGGGGGGGGGAUGAGGGCCUUGGGGUUGAAAACCGCUUUCAGCGGGGGGGAAGCUUGUGGGACGGGUCCCUGAAAAAGAAGCCCCGGCAAAUUCGGG